This 2921-nucleotide ribosomal RNA is filed under the name Escherichia coli. RNAcentral describes it as "partial 23S ribosomal RNA". It matches the Rfam family "Bacterial large subunit ribosomal RNA". The record is from RNAcentral. Lineage: Bacteria; Pseudomonadati; Pseudomonadota; Gammaproteobacteria; Enterobacterales; Enterobacteriaceae.
GUUAAGCGACUAAGCGUACACGGUGGAUGCCCUGGCAGUCAGAGGCGAUGAAGGACGUGCUAAUCUGCGAUAAGCGUCGGUAAGGUGAUAUGAACCGUUAUAACCGGCGAUUUCCGAAUGGGGAAACCCAGUGUGUUUCGACACACUAUCAUUAACUGAAUCCAUAGGUUAAUGAGGCGAACCGGGGGAACUGAAACAUCUAAGUACCCCGAGGAAAAGAAAUCAACCGAGAUUCCCCCAGUAGCGGCGAGCGAACGGGGAGCAGCCCAGAGCCUGAAUCAGUGUGUGUGUUAGUGGAAGCGUCUGGAAAGGCGCGCGAUACAGGGUGACAGCCCCGUACACAAAAAUGCACAUGCUGUGAGCUCGAUGAGUAGGGCGGGACACGUGGUAUCCUGUCUGAAUAUGGGGGGACCAUCCUCCAAGGCUAAAUACUCCUGACUGACCGAUAGUGAACCAGUACCGUGAGGGAAAGGCGAAAAGAACCCCGGCGAGGGGAGUGAAAAAGAACCUGAAACCGUGUACGUACAAGCAGUGGGAGCACGCUUAGGCGUGUGACUGCGUACCUUUUGUAUAAUGGGUCAGCGACUUAUAUUCUGUAGCAAGGUUAACCGAAUAGGGGAGCCGAAGGGAAACCGAGUCUUAACUGGGCGUUAAGUUGCAGGGUAUAGACCCGAAACCCGGUGAUCUAGCCAUGGGCAGGUUGAAGGUUGGGUAACACUAACUGGAGGACCGAACCGACUAAUGUUGAAAAAUUAGCGGAUGACUUGUGGCUGGGGGUGAAAGGCCAAUCAAACCGGGAGAUAGCUGGUUCUCCCCGAAAGCUAUUUAGGUAGCGCCUCGUGAAUUCAUCUCCGGGGGUAGAGCACUGUUUCGGCAAGGGGGUCAUCCCGACUUACCAACCCGAUGCAAACUGCGAAUACCGGAGAAUGUUAUCACGGGAGACACACGGCGGGUGCUAACGUCCGUCGUGAAGAGGGAAACAACCCAGACCGCCAGCUAAGGUCCCAAAGUCAUGGUUAAGUGGGAAACGAUGUGGGAAGGCCCAGACAGCCAGGAUGUUGGCUUAGAAGCAGCCAUCAUUUAAAGAAAGCGUAAUAGCUCACUGGUCGAGUCGGCCUGCGCGGAAGAUGUAACGGGGCUAAACCAUGCACCGAAGCUGCGGCAGCGACGCUGAUGCGUUGUUGGGUAGGGGAGCGUUCUGUAAGCCUGUGAAGGUGUACUGUGAGGUAUGCUGGAGGUAUCAGAAGUGCGAAUGCUGACAUAAGUAACGAUAAAGCGGGUGAAAAGCCCGCUCGCCGGAAGACCAAGGGUUCCUGUCCAACGUUAAUCGGGGCAGGGUGAGUCGACCCCUAAGGCGAGGCCGAAAGGCGUAGUCGAUGGGAAACAGGUUAAUAUUCCUGUACUUGGUGUUACUGCGAAGGGGGGACGGAGAAGGCUAUGUUGGCCGGGCGACGGUUGUCCCGGUUUAAGCGUGUAGGCUGGUUUUCCAGGCAAAUCCGGAAAAUCAAGGCUGAGGCGUGAUGACGAGGCACUACGGUGCUGAAGCAACAAAUGCCCUGCUUCCAGGAAAAGCCUCUAAGCAUCAGGUAACAUCAAAUCGUACCCCAAACCGACACAGGUGGUCAGGUAGAGAAUACCAAGGCGCUUGAGAGAACUCGGGUGAAGGAACUAGGCAAAAUGGUGCCGUAACUUCGGGAGAAGGCACGCUGAUAUGUAGGUGAAGUCCCUUGCGGAUGGAGCUGAAAUCAGUCGAAGAUACCAGCUGGCUGCAACUGUUUAUUAAAAACACAGCACUGUGCAAACACGAAAGUGGACGUAUACGGUGUGACGCCUGCCCGGUGCCGGAAGGUUAAUUGAUGGGGUCAGCGCAAGCGAAGCUCUUGAUCGAAGCCCCGGUAAACGGCGGCCGUAACUAUAACGGUCCUAAGGUAGCGAAAUUCCUUGUCGGGUAAGUUCCGACCUGCACGAAUGGCGUAAUGAUGGCCAGGCUGUCUCCACCCGAGACUCAGUGAAAUUGAACUCGCUGUGAAGAUGCAGUGUACCCGCGGCAAGACGGAAAGACCCCGUGAACCUUUACUAUAGCUUGACACUGAACAUUGAGCCUUGAUGUGUAGGAUAGGUGGGAGGCUUUGAAGUGUGGACGCCAGUCUGCAUGGAGCCGACCUUGAAAUACCACCCUUUAAUGUUUGAUGUUCUAACGUUGACCCGUAAUCCGGGUUGCGGACAGUGUCUGGUGGGUAGUUUGACUGGGGCGGUCUCCUCCUAAAGAGUAACGGAGGAGCACGAAGGUUGGCUAAUCCUGGUCGGACAUCAGGAGGUUAGUGCAAUGGCAUAAGCCAGCUUGACUGCGAGCGUGACGGCGCGAGCAGGUGCGAAAGCAGGUCAUAGUGAUCCGGUGGUUCUGAAUGGAAGGGCCAUCGCUCAACGGAUAAAAGGUACUCCGGGGAUAACAGGCUGAUACCGCCCAAGAGUUCAUAUCGACGGCGGUGUUUGGCACCUCGAUGUCGGCUCAUCACAUCCUGGGGCUGAAGUAGGUCCCAAGGGUAUGGCUGUUCGCCAUUUAAAGUGGUACGCGAGCUGGGUUUAGAACGUCGUGAGACAGUUCGGUCCCUAUCUGCCGUGGGCGCUGGAGAACUGAGGGGGGCUGCUCCUAGUACGAGAGGACCGGAGUGGACGCAUCACUGGUGUUCGGGUUGUCAUGCCAAUGGCACUGCCCGGUAGCUAAAUGCGGAAGAGAUAAGUGCUGAAAGCAUCUAAGCACGAAACUUGCCCCGAGAUGAGUUCUCCCUGACUCCUUGAGAGUCCUGAAGGAACGUUGAAGACGACGACGUUGAUAGGCCGGGUGUGUAAGCGCAGCGAUGCGUUGAGCUAACCGGUACUAAUGAACCGUGAGGCUUAACCUUACAACGCCGAAGGUGUUU